Mycena rebaudengoi is the source of this 93-nucleotide non-coding RNA. The record is from the annotation of a GenBank genome assembly. NCBI's taxonomy places the organism in Eukaryota, Fungi, Basidiomycota, Agaricomycetes, Agaricales, Mycenaceae.
GGCCCGGUAGCACAGCGGUAGUGCAUUUGCAUAUAAUCCACAUGUAUUGUUCCAAGUAUGCAGACGAUGCUGGUUCGACUCUGGCCUGGGCCU